UACGUAGGGUGCGAGCGUUGUCCGGAAUUAUUGGGCGUAAAGAGCUCGUAGGCGGUGUGUCACGUCGGCCGUGAAAACCUGGGGCUUAACUCUGGGCGUGCGGUCGAUACGGGCAUCACUAGAGUUCGGCAGGGGAGACUGGAAUUCCUGGUGUAGCGGUGAAAUGCGCAGAUAUCAGGAGGAACACCGGUGGCGAAGGCGGGUCUCUGGGCCGAUACUGACGCUGAGGCGCGAAAGCUAGGGGAGCAAACGGG
This 254-nucleotide ribosomal RNA is filed under the name uncultured bacterium. RNAcentral describes it as "partial 16S ribosomal RNA". It matches the Rfam family "Bacterial small subunit ribosomal RNA", at positions 524 to 776 of the family's 1533-position model. The record is from RNAcentral.